Molecule: ribosomal RNA, 468 nt
Filed under: uncultured bacterium
Lineage: Bacteria
Description: partial 16S ribosomal RNA
Rfam family: Bacterial small subunit ribosomal RNA
Source: RNAcentral
GACGAACGCUGGCGGCGUGCUUAACACAUGCAAGUCGAACGGAAAGGCCCUGCUUUUGUGGGGUGCUCGAGUGGCGAACGGGUGAGUAACACGUGAGUAACCUGCCCUUGACUUUGGGAUAACUUCAGGAAACUGGGGCUAAUACCGGAUAGGAGCUCCUGCUGCAUGGUGUGGGUGGGAAAGUUUCGGCGGUUGGGGAUGGACUCGCGGCUUAUCAGCUUGUUGGUGGGGUAGUGGCUUACCAAGGCUUUGACGGGUAGCCGGCCUGAGAGGGUGACCGGCCACAUUGGGACUGAGAUACGGCCCAGACUCCUACGGGAGGCAGCAGUGGGGAAUAUUGCACAAUGGGCGGAAGCCUGAUGCAGCAACGCCGCGUGCGGGAUGACGGCCUUCGGGUUGUAAACCGCUUUCGCCUGUGACGAAGCGUGAGUGACGGUAAUGGGUAAAGAAGCACCGGCUAACUACGUG